RNAcentral lists this ribosomal RNA (345 nucleotides) under Rioneta uluguruensis. RNAcentral's name for it is "partial 12S ribosomal RNA". The record is from RNAcentral. Lineage: Eukaryota; Metazoa; Arthropoda; Insecta; Coleoptera; Ptiliidae.
UUUAAAUGUAAAUUUUUAAUUCUAUAUUAGUAUUUGUUAAGUUCAUGAAAAUAAAAAGAUUUGGCGGUAUUUUAUUCUUUUUAGAGGAACCUGUUUUUUAAUUGAUUCUCCACGAUUAAAUUAACUUGAAUUAUUAAUUUAUAUAUCAUCGUUAAAAUUAUAUUAUAAGAUAUAAUAAUUUUAUUGUAAUAUUAUAAUUUAGUUCAGAUCAAGGUGUAGUUUAUAUUUAAGAUUUUAUGGGUUACAAUAACUUUAGUUAUAGAUUAUUAAUUGAGAAUUAAUUUAAAAUUGGAUUUAAUAGUAAUUAAGAAAAUAUUUUUUUAAUGAUUAAGUAAUAAAAUAUGU